CUGCUUUCCGCCAGAGAACUACAAGUGAAAAACUUUAAACUCAAAGGACUUGGCGGUGUCCCAUAUCGACCUAGAGGAGCCUGUCCUAUAAUCGAUACUCCCCGCUCUACCUAACCUCAACUAGCACCUCACAGCCUAUAUACCGCCGUCGACAGUCUACCCCAUGAGGGCCCAAUAGUAGACACAAUAGCCUAACCGCUAACACGUCAGGUCAAGGUGUAGCACAUGCUGAGGAAGAGAUUGGCUACAUUUUUUAUAUUAAAAAACACGAAAUGCAACAUGAAACCCUGCAUGAAGGUGAAUUUAGUAGUAAGAUCAACGAGAGUGUUUAUCUUAACAACGCUCUGGGACGCGCACACACCGCCCGUCA
Molecule: ribosomal RNA, 370 nt
Filed under: Eremias roborowskii
Lineage: Eukaryota; Metazoa; Chordata; Lepidosauria; Squamata; Lacertidae
Description: partial 12S ribosomal RNA
Rfam family: Bacterial small subunit ribosomal RNA
Source: RNAcentral